GGAUUCCCCUCAGUAAGGGCGACUGAAACGGGAAGAGCCCAGCGCAAAGCCUCGCGCUCCGAUAUCUAAGGGCGCGAGGGGUGCUGCGUUCGGGAGAGGUCCUGCACGCGCUUCCGCACCGCCUAAGUUGUACAUGAAUGACUCUCAUACCCAGGGAGGGUGUUAGGCCCGUGUGGCGGUAUGCAGCCCCUGCGCGCAAGCGCGGGGGAAGGUACGGGAGUGCGGAACGGGCCUCUCCUUAGAGUCGGGUUGCCUGAAACCGCAACCUAAAGUAGGUGGUAAACUCCAUCUAAGGCUAAAUAUGACCACGAGACCGAUAGCGAACAAGUACCGUGAGGGAAAGUUGAAACAGAACCCUGUAGAGAGAGUUCAAGAGAACGUGAAACCGUUAAGAGGCUAAACGGGUGGAGAUUCGAAGAUCGAACUUGGGGGAUUCAGUCUGUCGGUGGCCGGGAGGGGGUUCGCGGCGCUAGGCCGUUGGGCUCUGCCGCAAGGCGGGUCCGCGGUCUUACGCGACCUUCCGACUGCUGUCCGCUCACAAGGCGGGCACGACCGGGGGGCGCGGCCCGUCCCUUCACCCUGGUGCCGGCGGGCGAUCUUCCCCCUGUAGUAGGUCGCCGCGAUGCGUUGGGAGGGCGUCUUGAGGCCCGGGCGGCAGGAACCGACGUCAAAGCUCUCCCCUCUUUCCGGAGGGGUCUGUGGCGGCGUCCGGGGAUCCCCUGGUGUCCUUGUCUUGCGCUCCCGACGAUCUCUCCUUGGGGCCUUCGGCGUCCGCGCCGUCUGCCUUCGCGGCGUGUAAAGUAUCGAUGCUCUACCCGACCCGUCUUGAAACACGGACCAAGGAGUCCAACAUGUAUGCGAGUCAAUGGGCGCACUAAACCCACAGGCGCAAUGAAAGUGAUAACUGGCUCCCCGCAAGGGGGGUUGGGCCGAUCCCUCGAGACUGGGCGGCCGAGGCGCCCGGCCGGAGUGACUUUUUUUCCUCCUCGGGCGCGCGGCCCGUCCGUCCCGCACGCCUCCUCGGCCCAUUCCGGGUCGGGGAGGGGGGCGCAGGUCCGGGACUCGCCAUGACGAACGGAGAAAGCGGCUCGCCGCCGGUACCCGGAUGUGUCGGCGAGUACCUCGAGCAUAAAUGUUGGUACCCGAAAGAUAGUGAACUAUGCCUGGCCAGGAUGAAGCCAGGGGAAACCCUGGUGGAAGUCCGCAGCGAUUCUGACGUGCAAAUCGAUCGUCGGAGCUGGGUAUAGGGGCGAAAGACCAAUCGAACUAUCUAGUAGCUGGUUCCCUCCGAAGUUUCCCUCAGGAUAGCUGGCACUCGCCAAAGACGAGUUUCAUCCGGUAAAGCGAAUGAUUAGGGGUGUUGGGGACGAAAUGUCCUCAGCCUAUUCUCAAACUUUAAAUGGGUGAGGUACCGGGCUUGCUUCUCUGAAGCCCCGGGCACGAAUCGGAGUGCUUAGUGGGCCAAUUUUGGUAAGCAGAACUGGCGCUGUGGGAUGAACCAAACGUCGAGUUAAGGGGCCUAAAUGGAUGCUAAUUCCGAUACCAUUGGAAGGGAGUUGCUUGCUAUAGACAGCAGGACGGUGGCCAUGGAAGUUGGAAUCCGCUAAGGAGUGUGUAACAACUCACCUGCCGAAGCAAGUAACCCUGAAAAUGGCAUGGCGCUCAAGCAUCCUCCCGAUACUCGACCGCCGGGCGCACUAUAGGCUGCAACGAGGAGGUCUCGAGGCCCCGGUGAGUAGGAGGGCGCGGCGGUGAGCGUUGAAGGAUACGGCGCGAGCCGGUCUGGAGCCGCCGCUGGUGCGGAUCUUGGUGGUAGUAGCAAAUAUUCGAGCUAGAAAACCACACCCUCGCUGGCCGAUGCGGAGAAGGGUUCCACGCCAACAUCGCUUGGUCGUGGGUCAGUCGCUCCUGAGCCCUGGGAUAGCAUCCCGAUGUACCAGGUUGCUGGGCUUUCCUGUCCUGAUUCCUUGUACGGCGCGACGCGCGAACGGGCCCCGCCCUCCCAUUAUUGCCAAGGGAGUGGCGGCCGGGCCCCAGUAGCCGUCCGCAGUACUCGGUAAUAUAAUACCUGUCUCCGGCGCUGCUCUGCGCGCCGCAGCUCUCGUCCGAUCGGAGCCCCUCGUUCUUCGCCCUCUCUCCAGCGGGAGAUAGUAGGGGGAAGAGACCUCGUUCCCCCAUCGAUUGAUGAUGAUAUGAUGUCCAAACGAAUUCGUCAUCAUCAUCGUCGGUGGUUGUUGGAAGCCGUAGGAGGAGGAGAGGCGUUCCGAGAGAGAGCACCGCGGCCAGAGGAGCGGCACAUGCCGGGUACAUGCGGGUCCGCCGCGCGUCCCGCACACGCAAGUCAUAUAAUGCAUGUCGACACCUACUUCUCGUCUUUCCCGAGUCGCUUGCAGAAGUGUGCGCCUACAAUGGACAAGGGCGGCGGCGGAGCGGGGGCGAGCGGCCCCGCCAUCCCUCCUUUUGCAUCCCCCCUAUAAGCAUUUUCAUCCAUCAGCCUCAUCCCUUCUCCUCCGAUGCGAGUCGAUGGAGGGUUGUCGUCUGUUUGGUUUGUGGUGUCGGGGGGGUGUUGGAGCGGACGGCGGGCGGCUUGCUCCCGCACCACGAAGAGGAUAAACCGCGAGACGGUGGUGUUUCGCGCGUUUUGCUUUGCUCGUGUUGCUGUCAUCCAAACGGUCUGAA
This 2679-nucleotide ribosomal RNA is filed under the name Hymenopenaeus debilis. RNAcentral describes it as "eukaryotic LSU rRNA". The stretch from base 1 to 1971 matches the Rfam family "Eukaryotic large subunit ribosomal RNA". Lineage: Eukaryota; Metazoa; Arthropoda; Malacostraca; Decapoda; Solenoceridae. The record is from RNAcentral.